AAAUCGAUCUCUGAAUGAGCUAUGAAAUGGGUUGAAGUUUGAAAUAAUAACUGGGAUUUGUGUGGUCAUCCUAGGUUCAUCUUGCUGCUCUAUUUUUUUCUUAUUUGUAUUAGCCUCUUCUAUGAUUUCAUAUGUGUGCAAAGGAAUGUUCGUAUGGUCCUCUAGUCUCAGAAUCCAUCGAAACAUGUGAUUGUGUGCUCAUCUGCCUCUUCUGUUAGUGUCCAGCCAUAGUCGAUUUAUUUAAUGUGUAAACUUUUAGGGGUUGGUUUCCAAAUGGCUUGAAGAUUAACUUUGCUCGUUUUCUUUGUCAUAGGUUGUCCGAGUUGGUUUGAUUGCUAGUCGACUGAGUUUGAAUGGCUCGUGUGUUUGUGAAGUUCUCAGUUUGUUUGUGUACUGAUCGCAAAUCAGUCGAGUUUGCUACUUUUGUUUAUGCACUAAUGCUGAAAAUGCACAGACUAUCUUGGCACAUGUUUUCCAAUUUGCUUGGUCUAUUUUUGUUGAAAUCAGGUACCCACUUGGAGAACAGGGAGAUACAUUUCAAGUUUUGCAAUCAGGUGCCCACCUGGAGAGCACAAGAAUACAGUUUAAGUUUAGCAAUCAGGCACCCACCUGGAGAGCACGUGAAUACAGUUCAAGUUUAGUAAUCAGGCGCUCACCUAGAGAGCACGGGAAUACAAUCAAGUUCAGCAGUCAGGCGCCCACCUGGAGAGCAUGGGAAUACAAUUCAAGUUCAGCAAUCAGGCGCCCACCUAUAGAGCACGGGAAUACAGUUCAAGUGCAGAAGUCAGGCCCGCACCUUAGGAGCACGGGAAUACAAUUCAAGUGCAGCAAUCAGGUGCCCACCUGGAUAGCACGGGAAUACAGUUCAAGUUCAGCAAUCAGGCGCCCACCUGGAGAGCACGGGAAUACAAUUCAAGUUCAGCAAUCAGGCGCCCGCCUGGAGAGCACGGGAAUACAAUUGAAGUCAGCAAUCAAGCACCUAUCGAGAGAGCACGGGAAUACAUUUCAAGUUCAGUAGUCAAGCGCCCACCUGGAGAGCACAGGAAUACAUUUCAAGUUCAGCAUCCAGGCGCCCACCUGGAGAGCACGGCAAUACAAUUCAAGUUCAUUAGUCAGGCACCCACCUGGAGAGCACAUGAAUAUAGUUCAAAGUUCAACAAUCAGGCGUCCACCUGGAGAAAAGGGAAAACAUCUCAGAUUAUAAUUCAAAUCGGCAACAAAGGGACUUCACUGGGAUAACACAAGUCAACAAGGCAACAAGAACCACAAGAUAAAGUUUGAAGAUAUAGAUAGGGAUUUUGUAAUUCCUAGGUCAUAGUUUAGUCUAGUUUCUAUUUAUUUUGUCAUAGAGCAAUAAGGGGUUCAGCAAGCAGUAGCAGCAACAUUAGCAACAGUGAAAUCACAGCUUCAUGGUACUCCCAGCUACCGAAUAUUUUCGAACUACAUUGACCUAAUUCCUUUUUAGUCAAGAAAAUGUAAGCAACCUCGGAAGCAGGGUGCGGUCAAAUCUUUCAAACAUGCUUCCCACGGAGUAUUCAAACGGGCAAAAAUCGUUCGUAUCCGCUCAUUUUAUCUUUCCACGAAAAUUCUUCGUGUUUCCGAGCAAGAGGGGCAGCUUGAGCACGUAAUUUUAUCCUAUAUGAAUUAUUCUCAUAAAAUAAAAAAAUAAAAAAAAUUUCCGCUGUUUGCAAUUUUGUG
RNAcentral lists this long non-coding RNA (1698 nucleotides) under Nicotiana benthamiana. Its description in RNAcentral is "long non-coding RNA (NBEN_LNC033908)". Lineage: Eukaryota; Viridiplantae; Streptophyta; Magnoliopsida; Solanales; Solanaceae. The record is from RNAcentral.